GACGAACGCUGGCGGCGUGCUUAACACAUGCAAGUCGAACGGAAAGGCCUCUUGCUUGCAAGGGUACUCGAGUGGCGAACGGGUGAGUAACACGUGGGUGAUCUGCCUUGCACUCUGGGAUAAGCUUGGGAAACUGGGUCUAAUACCGGAUAGGAACCGUCUUUAGUGUGGUGGUUGGAAAGUUUUUUCGGUGCAAGAUGAGCUCGCGGCCUAUCAGCUUGUUGGUGGGGUAAUGGCCUACCAAGGCGUCGACGGGUAGCCGGCCUGAGAGGGUGUACGGCCACAUUGGGACUGAGAUACGGCCCAGACUCCUACGGGAGCAGCAGUGGGAAUAUUGCACAAUGGGCGGAAGCCUGAUGCAGCGACGCCGCGUGGGGGAUGACGGCCUUCGGGUUGUAAACUCCUUUCGACAGGGACGAAGCGUAAGUGACGGUACCUGUAUAAGAAGCACCGGCUAACUACGUGCCAGCGCG
This 473-nucleotide ribosomal RNA is filed under the name uncultured bacterium. Its description in RNAcentral is "bacterial SSU rRNA". It matches the Rfam family "Bacterial small subunit ribosomal RNA", at positions 28 to 519 of the family's 1533-position model. The record is from RNAcentral.